This 812-nucleotide ribosomal RNA is filed under the name Arthrobacter sp. 'SMCC B0543'. RNAcentral describes it as "bacterial SSU rRNA". It matches the Rfam family "Bacterial small subunit ribosomal RNA", at positions 548 to 1357 of the family's 1533-position model. Lineage: Bacteria; Bacillati; Actinomycetota; Actinomycetes; Micrococcales; Micrococcaceae. The record is from RNAcentral.
GAAUUAUUGGGCGUAAAGAGCUCGUAGGCGGUUUGUCNCGUCUGCCGUGAAAGUCCGGGGCUCAACUCCGGAUCUNCGGUGGGUACGGGCAGACUAGAGUGAUGUAGGGGAGACUGGAAUUCCUGGUGUANCGGUGAAAUGCGCAGAUAUCAGGAGGAACACCGAUGGCGAAGGCAGGUCUCUGGGCAUUAACUGACGCUGAGGAGCGAAAGCAUGGGGAGCGAACAGGAUUAGAUACCCUGGUAGUCCAUGCCGUAAACGUUGGGCACUAGGUGUGGGGGACAUUCCACGUUUUCCGCGCCGUAGCUAACGCAUUAAGUGCCCCGCCUGGGGAGUACGNCCGCAAGGCUAAAACUCAAAGGAAUUGACGGGGGCCCGCACAAGCGGCGGAGCAUGCGGAUUAAUUCGAUGCAACGCGAAGAACCUUACCAAGGCUUGACAUGAACCGGAAAGAUCUGGAAACAGGUCCCCCACUUGUGGUCGGUUUACAGGUGGUGCAUGGUUGUCGUCAGCUCGUGUCGUGAGAUGUUGGGUUAAGUCCCGCAACGAGCGCAACCCUCGUUCUAUGUUGCCAGCACGUGAUGGUGGGGACUCAUAGGAGACUNCCGGGGUCAACUCGGAGGAAGGUGGGGGCGACGUCAAAUCAUCAUGCCCCUUAUGUCUUGGGCUUCACGCAUNCUACAAUGGCCGGUACAAAGGGUUGCGAUACUGUGAGGUGGAGCUAAUCCCNCNAAGCCGGUCUCAGUUCGGAUUGGGGUCUGCAACUCGACCCCAUGAAGUCGGAGUCGCUAGUAAUCGCAGAUCAGCAACGC